GGUCCUUGCUUUCGGCCAGUCUGCCCUAUUUCUGGGGUGGGUACUGUGCUAGGCAGGACUUUUUUUCUCUUCUGAAAAGCUGGCAUGCUCUUCACUGAGUGUGGCAGGGCUUCAGGACGUUUACCUUGAAAAAAUUAGAGUGUUCAAAGCAGGCAUGGGUUUUGCAGUUGAAUAGAUUAGCAUGGGAUAAUAAAGUAGGACAUUGGUUCUAUUUUGUUGGUUUCUAGGACCAAAGUA
This 237-nucleotide ribosomal RNA is filed under the name uncultured fungus. RNAcentral's name for it is "partial small subunit ribosomal RNA". The stretch from base 58 to 237 matches the Rfam family "Eukaryotic small subunit ribosomal RNA", at positions 689 to 864 of the family's 1831-position model. The record is from RNAcentral. Lineage: Eukaryota; Fungi.